RNAcentral lists this ribosomal RNA (450 nucleotides) under uncultured bacterium. Its description in RNAcentral is "partial 16S ribosomal RNA". It matches the Rfam family "Bacterial small subunit ribosomal RNA", at positions 338 to 795 of the family's 1533-position model. The record is from RNAcentral.
CCUACGGGGGGCUGCAGUGGGGAAUAUUGCGCAAUGGGCGAAAGCCUGACGCAGCGACGCCGCGUGGGUGAUGAAGGCCUUCGGGUUGUAAAGCCCUGUCGGGUGGAACGAACGAUCUGGCGGCGAAUAACCGCCGGGUGUGACGGUACCACCGAAGGAAGCCCCGGCUAACUACGUGCCAGCAGCCGCGGUAAGACGUAGGGAGCUACCGUUGUUCGGGUUUACUGGGCGUAACGGGCGCGUAGGCUGCGAAAGCCCGCGGCUUAACCGAGGUCGCGCAUCCGAUACUGUCUGGCUCGAGUCUAGGAGAGGAAAGCGGAAUUCCCAGUGUAGCGGUGAAAUGCGUAGAUAUUGGGAGGAACACCGGUGGCGAAGGCGGCUUUCCGGACUAGUACUGACGCUGAGGCGCGAAAGCUAGGGGAGCGAACGGGAUUAGAUACCCUUGUAGUC